Molecule: long non-coding RNA, 948 nt
Filed under: Junco hyemalis (dark-eyed junco)
Lineage: Eukaryota; Metazoa; Chordata; Aves; Passeriformes; Passerellidae
Description: lncRNA (ENSJHYG00000018187.1)
Source: RNAcentral
UCAGUGAGGGGGCACCUGUGGGACAGAGGGGACAAUGUCCAGUGAGGGGUCACUUGGGGGGACAGAGGUCACAGUGGUCAGUGGGGACAGGAGGGGUCAGGACAGGAGGGACAAAGUUUGGGAGCAAGAAAGGAAAGUUUGGGCAAACUUUGGCAGGAAAAGUUUUGGGGAAGAAAGGAAAAUUUAGGGAAAGGAAGAGAAAUUUGGGGGGAAGAGGAAAAAUUUGGGGAAGGGAAAAGUUCAGGAGAGGAAACUCCUGAGAAAAAGAAGGAGAAUUCCUGAAAAAGGAAGGAAAACUGGAAAGGCCAAGCCAUGCCCAGCUUCACUUUUGAUUUUGAACCCCAAAAUCCCAAAACCGCCCCAAAAUUCCCCAAAUCCUGCAAAUUCCAGGUGCUCACCAUGCCGGGCACAGGGCUGGGGUCCCUCUGGAUUUGGGGGGUCCCCCUUGUCCCCAAUUCCUGCCAUUUCCGUGCUGGCCCCACCUGGACAAGACGGAGCAGUUUUGGGGUUAAAAAGGACAAAUUUGGGGUCACUGAGGUGAAACCCCCCCAAAAAUCCCCCAAACCCACCUGGGGGCAGCGGGGGGAGCUCGAAGCUCAUCUCUUCCUCCUCCUCCUCCUCCUCUUCCUCCUCCACGGCCCUCAGGGGGUCCCGCUCCUCAAUGCCACAAAAUUCCCAAUUCCUCUUUUCCUCCAAAAUUCCACUUUGGGGCUUCCCCCUCUCCUUCUUCUCCCGGGGACCCCCAGCCCGGCGGGGACCCCUGUUCUCCUUCUUCUCCAGAGGUUUUUUGGCUUUUCCCUUCUCCUUCUUUUCCACAUUUUCCGUUUUGGAGUUUCCCCUUUUUCCCGCAUUUUCCAUUUGGGGAUUUUCCAUUUUUUCCGUUUUGGGAUUUUCCAUUUUUUCCACAUUUUCCAUUUUUUCCACAUUUUCCAUUUUGGGAUUUCUCGC